CGUCUGAAAGUCUGUCAUAUGAUGAGAAACUGGCGUGUCUGUGAGGAGAACACAAGGACUGAUGUGUGUUAGCUGCACAAAAUGUUUCUGCAUGUCACAAAACAAGAGAAAACAAUUAAUCUGCCCUGACCUGGGGCCCGUUCUUCGUACGUCGCUAACUCGGUUAGCUGGAUUUGAUUGUUGACGAUUUGGCAUGAUCUUGGAUUGUUUGGUUCUUCGAAGCUCAUCCUGGACUUGCUGUCAUAGCAACAGGUGCUGACGAUGGGAUCCUGUUUGGCGACAGGGGCUAUGCCUUCAGGCAGGCAGUACUUCAUGACACCAUUCCCUGGACCACAAACCCGUUACAAUGCAGCUCUAGCCAGGACAAGGCCACGCAUUGAAAUGACCUUUGGCCAACUAAAGGAAGAUUUCAGUGUCUUAAGGGUCUGAGGGUUGCACCUGGAGAGGACCCCUGUGGUGGAGGUGCAGCCUGAUGAUGACCUCCAGCCAGUGCACUUGGACCAAUAGUGGCAGAGCUGCACAGGACAGUAUUGUGGAACACGAUUUUAUGAAUUCUUUUUUUUACACAUAAACUUUCAUUAAAUGAAUAAUAGAAGACAACA
Molecule: long non-coding RNA, 602 nt
Organism: Triplophysa dalaica
Lineage: Eukaryota; Metazoa; Chordata; Actinopteri; Cypriniformes; Nemacheilidae
Exons: 2
Source: RefSeq, a predicted model, not a curated record